UAAAAUGCAUAAUUGUCAAAUAGUUUGGCUUAAAAACAACAGAAGCAUAACUGAUUGAGCGGUCUAAGAGUAGAAGGCAUCACAAGCCACAGGAAACCAGCACAUCAGGCCUCAGGUGCAGGCUGCGUGAGCCCGGCCUUGGCAAGCAGCUUCCCCAUGGCGUCAGGAGAGCACACCUGGUACUGCACCUCCCCAGUGCCGGGCUGCACGAAGACCUCGGCCAGCUCCAGCUUAUCGGCAGUCAAACUAGUGGAAUCCAUGGUCUUGCUGAGGACCUUGAGGGCAAGGGCGACGGCCUCCUCGCGGGUCAUGCCGUCCUUGUAGUCCUGCUUGAGCAUGGACUGGGCGGCCUGGCUGUUGGCCCCGACGGCGGCGGCCUUCCAGCCACCG
RNAcentral lists this long non-coding RNA (390 nucleotides) under Hordeum vulgare. RNAcentral describes it as "long non-coding RNA (HVUL_LNC017782)". Lineage: Eukaryota; Viridiplantae; Streptophyta; Magnoliopsida; Poales; Poaceae. The record is from RNAcentral.